GAUGAACGCUGGCUACAGGCUUAACACAUGCAAGUCGAGGGGAAACGACGGGGAAGCUUGCUUCCCCGGGCGUCGACCGGCGCACGGGUGAGUAACGCGUAUCCAACCUGCCUCUGACUGAGGGAUAACCCGUCGAAAGUCGGCCUAAUACCUCAUGGUAUCGUCUGCGGGCAUCCAACGACGAUUAAAGAUUUCAUCGGUCAGGGAUGGGGAUGCGUCUGAUUAGCUUGUUGGCGGGGUAACGGCCCACCAAGGCUACGAUCAGUAGGGGUUCUGAGAGGAAGGUCCCCCACAUUGGAACUGAGACACGGUCCAAACUCCUACGGGAGGCAGCAGUGAGGAAUAUUGGCCAAUGGGCGAGAGCCUGAACCAGCCAAGUAGCGUGCAGGAAGACGGCCCUAUGGGUUGUAAACUGCUUUUAUGCGGGGAUAAAGUGAGGGACGUGUCCCUCAUUGCAGGUACCGCAUGAAUAAGGACCGGCUAAUUCCGUG
RNAcentral lists this ribosomal RNA (491 nucleotides) under uncultured bacterium. RNAcentral's name for it is "partial 16S ribosomal RNA". It matches the Rfam family "Bacterial small subunit ribosomal RNA", at positions 28 to 507 of the family's 1533-position model. The record is from RNAcentral.